RNAcentral lists this small RNA (1630 nucleotides) under Mus musculus (house mouse). RNAcentral describes it as "Processed transcript RepA transcript". The stretch from base 330 to 367 matches the Rfam family "XIST RNA A repeat". RNAcentral also lists the same sequence under 1 other name. The record is from RNAcentral. Lineage: Eukaryota; Metazoa; Chordata; Mammalia; Rodentia; Muridae.
CCCAUCGGGGCCACGGAUACCUGUGUGUCCUCCCCGCCAUUCCAUGCCCAACGGGGUUUUGGAUACUUACCUGCCUUUUCAUUCUUUUUUUUUCUUAUUAUUUUUUUUUCUAAACUUGCCCAUCUGGGCUGUGGAUACCUGCUUUUAUUCUUUUUUUCUUCUCCUUAGCCCAUCGGGGCCAUGGAUACCUGCUUUUUGUAAAAAAAAAAAAAAAAAAAAAAAAACCUUUCUCGGUCCAUCGGGACCUCGGAUACCUGCGUUUAGUCUUUUUUUCCCAUGCCCAACGGGGCCUCGGAUACCUGCUGUUAUUAUUUUUUUUUCUUUUUCUUUUGCCCAUCGGGGCUGUGGAUACCUGCUUUAAAUUUUUUUUUUCACGGCCCAACGGGGCGCUUGGUGGAUGGAAAUAUGGUUUUGUGAGUUAUUGCACUACCUGGAAUAUCUAUGCCUCUUAUUUGCGUGUACUGUUGCUGCUGAUCGUUUGGUGCUGUGUGAGUGAACCUAUGGCUUAGAAAAACGACUUUGCUCUUAAACUGAGUGGGUGUUCAGGGCGUGGAGAGCCCGCGUCCGCCAUUAUGGCUUCUGCGUGAUACGGCUAUUCUCGAGCCAGUUACGCCAAGAAUUAGGACACCGAGGAGCACAGCGGACUGGAUAAAAGCAACCAAUUGCGCUGCGCUAGCUAAAGGCUUUCUUUAUAUGUGCGGGGUUGCGGGAUUCGCCUUGAUUUGUGGUAGCAUUUGCGGGGUUGUGCUAGCCGGAAGUAGAAAGCCAAGGAGUGCUCGUAUUAGUGUGCGGUGUUGCGCGGAAGCCGCAGAGGACUAGGGGAUAGGGCUCAGCGUGGGUGUGGGGAUUGGGCAGGGUGUGUGUGCAUAUGGACCCCUGGCGCGGUCCCCCGUGGCUUUAAGGGCUGCUCAGAAGUCUAUAAAAUGGCGGCUCGGGGGCUCCACCCGAGGCUCGACAGCCCAAUCUUUGUUCUGGUGUGUAGCAAUGGAUUAUAGGACAUUUAGGUCGUACAGGAAAAGAUGGCGGCUCAAGUUCUUGGUGCGGUAUAACGCAAAGGGCUUUGUGUGUCACAUGUCAGCUUCAUGUCUGAGUUAGCCUGGAGAGGUGGCACAUGCUCUUGAAUGUGUCUAAGAUGGCGGAAGUCAUGUGACCUGCCCUCUAGUGGUUUCUUUCAGUGAUUUUUUUUUUGGCGGGCUUUAGCUACUUGGCGGGCUUUGCCCGAGGGUACACUUGGUGCAUUAUGGUAGGGUGUGGUUGGUCCUACCUUGUGCCACUCGAAGCUGAGGCAAGGCUAAGUGGAAGUGUUGGUUGCCACUUGACGUAACUCGUCAGAAAUGGGCACAAGUGUGAAAGUGUUGGUGUUUGCUUGACUUCCAGUUAGAAAUGUGCAUUAUUGCUUGGUGGCCAGGAUGGAAUUAGACUGUGAUGAGUCACUGUCCCAUAAGGACGUGAGUUUCGCUUGGUACUUCACGUGUGUCUUUAGUCAUCAUUUUUUCGAAGUGCCUGCCCAGGUCGGGAGAGCGCAUGCUUGCAAUUCUAACACUGAAGUGUUGGAUGAUGUCGGAUCCGAUUCGAGAGACCGAGGCUGCGGGUUCUUGGUCGAUGUAAAUCAUUGAAACCUCACCUAUUA